GGGCACAGCAGUAGGCGUUCCCCGCGCCAACCGCCCAAGUUUCCUCACACCGACCGGGUGCGAGCCCUGUGUCCCUCCUGGUAUCCGAGGGCGUCAGAUCUGCCUCUUCCUUAGUCUUUUGUUCCCUUUCCAGCCAAAAGGGAGCCCCUACCAGCAGGGUCAGCACUUGGAUCUACACUCCACAUGCAAAGUCAUUGCUGCUGCCUAAGCAGCCAGUUGGAAGCAGGGGGUUUCCCUCCUACUUGUAAGCAUGCACCCUGCCAUGAAGGCUCAUGCAUGCUUGCACGUUUCUGUCAGCUGCAGACUGGAGGUGAAUGAAGUUUCGCAUGGGUGAAUUAUCUCCCAAGCAGCAGCAUAAAGAACAUUUCAGCUACAGGCCACCUCGUUAGUGACCUAUACUGGCUUGCGCCACGAUAACAUAAUUAAAAAACUCAUUCCUACAUUACUAUUCAUUUCAAAAAAUGUCUUUCAAGAGGUCCAAUGCAAACUAUAGUCAAACUUCCUUAAAAAUUGCAUUUCUUCCUAAGAAAAGAAGGGAGAAUAUCCUAUUCAUGCACCGAUCUCUGCAGUAAAUAUGCUGCAUAUUAAAAAAAAAAAGGAAAAUUACAUAACCAGUUUUAACAUUAUUUUCUUGUGCUAGGAAUUAAGUCAUCGCCACCACCUGACGCGCGUAACCAAUCUGCGGAGAGGAGAAGGAGCACCCCCUCCCUCUCCCCAGGACUGGUCCCAAACAGGAUUGAACCGCUUCUAACAAAGGGUGGAAACUUCAGAAAAACAAGCUUAGAGUCCCCUAUACUUUCACAAUGUAACCAUGCGAACAACACAUUAACAAACCGAAGAUCCGCACCCCCCCUCACAAUGUGUUACCCCCUUUUCCAUACCCAAAAUAAGGGAAUUUGCAGAGCACUUUACGUUUCUAUCGGGGCUGGGCAGACCGGGUUUCCAUUGAAUGCAGGUUCCAGAACUCCCUAACUUAGAAACGAUGCUCCGAUUAUACAACUGCGGACUCUUAUUUGGCCUUUUCGGCAGAUCUUUACCUCUCGGUCUCCCACACAGAGGUUUAAUAAGAGAAAUCGGAAGUAAUUUACGAAUUUACUAGUAGUUUAGAGCAAAGGAAGAGGGAGAAAUUACACGUGGGGUGGUGAUAGCAUAUGUCAAAAUAAGCCACGGGGACUCUUCUAUCUGCCAGCAAUGAUCCAUCUUUAAAAAUCAUCACUUAUCAGUCUGAAAAGCAGACCUGUAUCUAGUGUGUCAAAAAGUCUAGUUUUAUGUUUUAAUUAUAUUUCACAAUUUGAUAGGCUGUCUCCAGGAAAGUCAUGUACUGCAUCUCUGUUUUUGAUAUUUAUUUUCCCCACAAAAAAAUGUUUUGCCAUUAUCGCUGUGACAAAAUAAUAUUACAUUCCAAAGAUACAGUAUUAAUAAACUGCAAAUCCUUAUGAAAAAGCUCCGUUAAAGGGCAGGUAGUUUAAGAAAGUCCUGUUUGCAGGCACUUUGCAGAUGCAUCUCAGUACAGUUUUAACAUUAAGUAAACGUCCAUAUAAUGGAACAGAAAUCUCAAGAAGGUACUCUGCGUUUCCUCAUCUUCAGAAAUAUUGGAUCUUAGGGGCUACAUAUUAAAAAGCAAUAAAGCAAGACAAAGCAAAGAUGCGUCCUUUUCCAGAAAAAUGUCUGCAUAUAAUGAACUAAAAAUGUUCAGCAGUGUCCUUCUGGUACGUUAGGACUUCUUAUGUUUUUGCACCAUCUUGUGUGUUCCUUUUGUUCUCACAUCUUUAGAUGCAGAUGGCGUCAUACAACCGUUCAUUUGCAAAUUUUUCCUUCUUUUCUGCGAAGUAGAAGAUAAUCUUUUCUUCCACAGUCACAGAUCCCACCAUCCCACCGCUUUGUGUCUUUGGAUUUGCUAUAGGACGUAUGAAAACUAACAGCUAAACGGGACGCUACUUCUAUGCCUCCCUCCAUGGAGUUUAGGCAGGAAAGUCCUGACUGCUGUCCUUCAGGUUCUCCGUUCAUUGUCACCUUGUACCUCUGUCAGUGUGGAUCUGCAAAGAUUUGAAGGGCACAGCAGUUACCUUCUGCAGACCAGUUAAGAUCUGUGAAGGUUAAAGACUCAAGUGGAUAUUCAUAUGGAUGUUUUUUUGUGUACUUGUUGAUAAUGAAGAGGAAUUUCUUACACAAUUGAAAUAUGGCAUAUGAUGUUUUCUCAUUUAUUUUCUCAUAUAGAUGGCAUAUGUUGUAUACUUACUAGAUUUGCACAUUCCAUGCUUGUUGGAGAAGAUAAAAUGUUUUGUUAAGUUGAUGCAGGCCCCUCUUCCUGGAUAUGAUCUACAGACAGCGUAGCCCUAACUUGUCUCCCCGACCAGUAGGAUGGCUGUCUUUUGCCAAGCCAUUUCUGGAUAUGCAAGAAUAACAUAGCUGCUGUCAUGACAUGGGAUACGUUCGAAGCCUUUCGUAUGAGUAGGCUGUUGGGAAGAUCCUGCUACUUUUGAGCUUGUGGGCGAAGUUCUUGUAUGUUAGAUUUGACCAACUUGCAGACAGUUGAAGUCCUGAUCAUAUGUCAUACUGGAGAGCAGACAGCUCUUUCCAGUUCCUGGAUUAUUAUCUGGAGAAAAAUGCAGUGGAGAGUAACCCUCCUUCUCAGACAUAUUGGGCAUGCUGAGAAUACUGAUAAUCUAAGUUUCAUUGCAAUGGUGAGACAGGUGCAAUUCAUUGCAAUUUCUAUGAAUACUGGAAUAGUUCAGACUUCUUGGAAGUUUUUCUAAACACAGAGAAGUGAGUCCAUUGAAAUUACUGGGACCUUUGGAUAUCCAUGCAAAGCAAAAUUCCUCAGUCUUUGAAGCUCUUUAAUUUCCAUAUAUUGCUAUGCUGUUGUUCUGAGUUAAUUAAAAAAUGAGUGAUCAGAUGUGCUAGUUUACAUGAAAGUGACUCAGUUUUCAAGGCUAGUUCUAAAUUCCUGUUAAAGCUUAGUGGAAAAAAUUAUAAAUCAAUUCCAUAGUAACUGAUCUGUAUGCAGUCAAAGCAUCUGAGCCAAGAUCUACUGUUCUUUGAAAUAAUGACCCUCCUUCUCCUAGUGUCCUACUCAGGAAACUUUCCUCUAUUUUUUUUUUUUUCCUUUAUUCCCUCUUACCUCUUCCCUAAAAAGCAUGAACCUCCUUCCUGCAGCCUCUCACUUCUGUGCCCUUUGGGUAAGGAGAAUGGAUAGGAAACAGCAUUUCCUGUAUCACAACCAGGUGGUUGUAGUGGGCACAAUUACAAAUUCCCAAUUCACGAAGUUUUGCUAUAAAUCUAACAAUAUUUGGUGUGUUAUCUUGAAGUCUUAGAUUUGGGAUUGAUUUGACUACGGUAAGAAUCUCAUCUCAGGUGAACAUAUAUUUAGACCCGAUGAGUUCAGAAAAGAAGCUUUGAAUUCACCAAAUAGCUCAGAAAUCAAGAAAAAUGAAACAAGUUGUUUAUCAGUCUCUCUCAUGCGCGUGCACACACACAUGCGCACACACAUACAAAAGA
Non-coding RNA from Struthio camelus australis, 3498 nucleotides. Lineage: Eukaryota; Metazoa; Chordata; Aves; Struthioniformes; Struthionidae. The record is from RefSeq and is a predicted model, not a curated record.